AAGCUGUUAACCUAACCACUGAAGGGAGUAUUGUCACAAGAUAUGUGUACUCAUUGUUUUGGGGAUUCCAGCAAAUUAGUACACUAGCUGGCAAUCAAGUCCCGAGUUAUUUUGAGUGGGAAGUUUUGUUCACAAUGGCUAUCAUCGGAAUAGGACUACUGCUUUUUGCCCUCCUGAUUGGAAACAUGCAAAACUUUCUGCAGUCUCUAGAUCGCAGGAGAUUAGAAAUGUCUCUGAGACGUCGUGAUGUUGAACAAUGGAUGAGCCAUAGGCGCUUGCCAGUAGAACUGAGAAGGCGAGUUCA
RNAcentral lists this unclassified non-coding RNA (304 nucleotides) under Hevea brasiliensis (rubber tree). Lineage: Eukaryota; Viridiplantae; Streptophyta; Magnoliopsida; Malpighiales; Euphorbiaceae. The record is from RNAcentral.